CUUAGAUACCCUGGUAGUCCACCCCGUAAACGUUGGGAACUAGUUGUGGGGUCCAUUCCACGGAUUCCGUGACGCAGCUAACGCAUUAAGUUCCCCGCCUGGGGAGUACGGCCGCAAGGCUAAAACUCAAAGGAAUUGACGGGGACCCGCACAAGCGGCGGAGCAUGCGGAUUAAUUCGAUGCAACGCGAAGAACCUUACCAAGGCUUGACAUAUACGAGAACGGGCCAGAAAUGGUCAACUCUUUGGACACUCGUAAACAGGUGGUGCAUGGUUGUCGUCAGCUCGUGUCGUGAGAUGUUGGGUUAAGUCCCGCAACGAGCGCAACCCUCGUUCUAUGUUGCCAGCACGUAAUGGUGGGAACUCAUGGGAUACUGCCGGGGUCAACUCGGAGGAAGGUGGGGAUGACGUCAAAUCAUCAUGCCCCUUAUGUCUUGGGCUUCACGCAUGCUACAAUGGCCGGUACAAAGGGCUGCAAUACCGCGAGGUGGAGCGAAUCCCAAAAAGCCGGUCCCAGUUCGGAUUGAGGUCUGCAACUCGACCUCAUGAAGUCGGAGUCGCUAGUAAUCGCAGAUCAGCAACGCUGCGGUGAAUACGUUCCCGGGUCUU
RNAcentral lists this ribosomal RNA (608 nucleotides) under Microbacterium oxydans. Its description in RNAcentral is "bacterial SSU rRNA". It matches the Rfam family "Bacterial small subunit ribosomal RNA", at positions 777 to 1382 of the family's 1533-position model. The record is from RNAcentral. Lineage: Bacteria; Bacillati; Actinomycetota; Actinomycetes; Micrococcales; Microbacteriaceae.